RNAcentral lists this ribosomal RNA (671 nucleotides) under uncultured Oceanospirillales bacterium. RNAcentral describes it as "bacterial SSU rRNA". It matches the Rfam family "Bacterial small subunit ribosomal RNA", at positions 466 to 1136 of the family's 1533-position model. Lineage: Bacteria; Pseudomonadati; Pseudomonadota; Gammaproteobacteria; Oceanospirillales. The record is from RNAcentral.
GCUGUGACGUUAACUGCAGAAGAAGGACCGGCUAACUCCGUGCCAGCAGCCGCGGUAAUACGGAGGGUCCGAGCGUUAAUCGGAAUUACUGGGCGUAAAGCGCGCGUAGGUGGAUUGGUCAGUCAGAUGUGAAAGCCCAGGGCUCAACCUUGGAACUGCACCUGAUACUGCCAGUCUAGAAUACGGUAGAGGGUAGUGGAAUUUCCUGUGUAGCGGUGAAAUGCGUAGAUAUAGGAAGGAACACCAGUGGCGAAGGCGACUACCUGGACCGAUAUUGACACUGAGGUGCGAAAGCGUGGGGAGCAAACAGGAUUAGAUACCCUGGUAGUCCACGCCGUAAACGAUGUCUACUAGCCGUUGGGGGACUUGAUCCUUUAGUGGCGCAGCUAACGCGAUAAGUAGACCGCCUGGGGAGUACGGCCGCAAGGUUAAAACUCAAAUGAAUUGACGGGGGCCCGCACAAGCGGUGGAGCAUGUGGUUUAAUUCGACGCAACGCGAAGAACCUUACCAACUCUUGACAUCCUGCGAACUAGCUAGAGAUAGCUUGGUGCCUUCGGGAACGCAGAGACAGGUGCUGCAUGGCUGUCGUCAGCUCGUGUUGUGAAAUGUUGGGUUAAGUCCCGUAACGAGCGCAACCCUUGUCCUUAUUUGCCAGCACGUAAUGGUGGGA